This 78-nucleotide transfer RNA is filed under the name Buchnera aphidicola (Schlechtendalia chinensis). Its description in RNAcentral is "tRNA-Ile". It matches the Rfam family "tRNA". From Rfam's summary of the family: Transfer RNA (tRNA) molecules are approximately 80 nucleotides in length. Their secondary structure includes four short double-helical elements and three loops (D, anti-codon, and T loops). RNAcentral also lists the same sequence under 1 other name. The record is from RNAcentral. Lineage: Bacteria; Pseudomonadati; Pseudomonadota; Gammaproteobacteria; Enterobacterales; Erwiniaceae.
AGGCUUGUAGCUCAGCUUGGUUAGAGCACACCCCUGAUAAGGGUGAGGUCGGUGGUUCAAUUCCACUCAGGCCUACCA